This 835-nucleotide unclassified non-coding RNA is filed under the name Hevea brasiliensis (rubber tree). The record is from RNAcentral. Lineage: Eukaryota; Viridiplantae; Streptophyta; Magnoliopsida; Malpighiales; Euphorbiaceae.
UAAAAAAGCCAUCCAGCAAAACGCUAAUCAAAGAUCAAAAUGAACCUGUUAAAUUUGAAGAUAAUUCAGGCAGAAAUUUUGGAGGCAAGAAACCGAAAUCUUUGAAGGAUGAUGGAUCCUCAUUGAUGAAAUUAAGUGGAUAUAUUCCCAAGAGGCAAGAAUUUGAUCCUGAAUAUGAUAAUGAUGCGGAGCAACUAUUGGCUGAUAUGGAAUUCAAGGAAACUGAAACUGAAGAGGAGCGCGAACUUAAGCUGCGUGUUCUGCGUAUCUAUUCCAAGAGGCUUGAUGAAAGAAAACGCCGCAAGGUUUUUAUUCUAGAGAGGAAUUUACUCCAGCCAAGUGAAUUUGAGAAGAAUUUGUCACCAGAAGAGAAAGGUAUAUGCCGACGUUAUGAUGCCAUUAUGCGCUUUCUCUCGAAGGAGGAGCAUGAAGAAUUACUUAAGGCUGUGGUCUCAGAACAUAGAUAUCUGAAAAGAAUACAAGAACUCAAGGAAGCGAAAGCUGCAGGUUGUCGUUCGUCUGCUGAAGUUGAUAGGUACUUAGAAAGGAAAAGGAAGAAGGAAGUUGAAGAAGGUGUUCCGAGAAAGGGAAGCUCUCAGAUUGGCCCAAUGAGCCAGGAAAGCCUGAACAUACCUGCUUCUUCUGAGUCACUUGGAAUACAUUCAAAUAGAAAACCUUGUAGCCUGGCGAUUUUGAGUUCCGACACCAAUGCAGGUGUUCCAGCUUUUUCUGCAGGAGAACUGUUAUCUGAACCUGAGAAACAACUAUGUCAAGAAAUCAGGUUAUCGCCGCAUCAUUAUCUUAGGAUGCAGGAGGUCCUUACAAUACAAAUUUA